Molecule: ribosomal RNA, 483 nt
Filed under: uncultured bacterium
Lineage: Bacteria
Description: partial 16S ribosomal RNA
Rfam family: Bacterial small subunit ribosomal RNA
Source: RNAcentral
GACGAACGCUGGCGGCGUGCUUAUCACAUGCAAGUCGAACGCUGAAGCUCAGCUUUUGUUGGGUGGAUGAGUGGCGAACGGGUGAGUAACACGUGAGUAACCUGCCUCCUUCUUUGGGAUAACGCCCGGAAACGGGUGCUAAUACUGGAUAUUCACUGGUCUUCGCAUGGGGGUUGGUGGAAAGGGUUUUUCUGGUGGGGGAUGGGCUCGCGGCCUAUCAGCUUGUUGGUGGGGUGAUGGCCUACCAAGGCUUUGACGGGUAGCCGGCCUGAGAGGGUGACUGGUCACAUUGGGACUGAGAUACGGCCCAGACUCCUACGGGAGGCAGCAGUGGGGAAUAUUGCACAAUGGGCGCAAGCCUGAUGCAGCGACGCCGCGUGAGGGAUGGAGGCCUUCGGGUUGUGAACCUCUUUCGCUCAUGGUCAAGCCGCAACAAUGGUUGUGGUGAGGGUAGUGGGUAAAGAAGCGCCGGCUAACUACGUG